CGACCCCAGGUCAGGCGGGGCUACCCGCUGAGUUUAAGCAUAUCAAUA
Molecule: ribosomal RNA, 48 nt
Filed under: Opuntia dillenii
Lineage: Eukaryota; Viridiplantae; Streptophyta; Magnoliopsida; Caryophyllales; Cactaceae
Also listed under: 18 other names
Description: partial 26S ribosomal RNA
Source: RNAcentral